CACAGGUGACUGGUGUGGUCUGAUAAAGUGUGAUCACUAUGCACUGAAAUUAUUCACACAACCAUGCAUGAGAGGCGGAUCCAACAAGCGGAGGCAGGGGAACAGCAGUGGAGCGAGACUUGAUAAGGCCGUAGACGUGAAUGCCCGGUGUUAUAGCAACAGUUUAAUUUCCAAACAAAGCCACGUCUUAUGACACUGUACGGAACGGUUUUUUAUUACUAUACAUGGACUAUAUAAAAGAGGCAGUACCUGAAGUCAAUUCCGGGCCUGAGGAAACGCCCGGAGGGUCUUUAACACCUACUGCCCUGCCGUUACACCUGUCUACGUGUAGCCACCCUUGUACUUUAAAAUAAAGAAGCACAGCAU
Molecule: long non-coding RNA, 366 nt
Organism: Hyla sarda
Lineage: Eukaryota; Metazoa; Chordata; Amphibia; Anura; Hylidae
Exons: 3
Source: RefSeq, a predicted model, not a curated record